Molecule: ribosomal RNA, 247 nt
Filed under: uncultured Oxalobacteraceae bacterium
Lineage: Bacteria; Pseudomonadati; Pseudomonadota; Betaproteobacteria; Burkholderiales; Oxalobacteraceae
Description: partial 16S ribosomal RNA
Rfam family: Bacterial small subunit ribosomal RNA
Source: RNAcentral
CACGCCCUAAACGAUGUCUACUAGUUGUCGGGUCUUAAUUGACUUGGUAACGCAGCUAACGCGUGAAGUAGACCGCCUGGGGAGUACGGUCGCAAGAUUAAAACUCAAAGGAAUUGACGGGGACCCGCACAAGCGGUGGAUGAUGUGGAUUAAUUCGAUGCAACGCGAAAAACCUUACCUACCCUUGACAUGGAAGGAAUCCCGAAGAGAUUUGGGAGUGCUCGAAAGAGAACCUUUACACAGGUGC